RNAcentral lists this long non-coding RNA (213 nucleotides) under Felis catus (domestic cat). Its description in RNAcentral is "lncRNA (ENSFCAG00000050871.1)". The record is from RNAcentral. Lineage: Eukaryota; Metazoa; Chordata; Mammalia; Carnivora; Felidae.
CCCGGCACUGUUCUUGAAACAACUUAUAGUAAAAGAAAAAAAUAUUUUUCUUCUGUUAUCCCUUUUUUUCAGGAAGAAGCAAAAAGCAGCUUAAUGAAUUAGAGAUGAUUAGAGGUGGUUGAUAAGGACCGAGUCCAAAGAGCAUACAUCCCCAUCUGCAAUUUGACUGGCAGCUCCAGGAGGUGGGAUCCGCAUUCAUGCUCCACUGCCCUC